UGGGGAAUAUUGCACAAUGGGCGCAAGCCUGAUGCAGCGACGCCGCGUGGGGGAUGACGGCCUUCGGGUUGUAAACUCCUUUCGCUAGGGACGAAGCUUUUUGUGACGGUACCUAGAUAAGAAGCACCGGCUAACUACGUGCCAGCAGCCGCGGUAAUACGUAGGGUGCGAGCGUUGUCCGGAAUUACUGGGCGUAAAGGGCCCGUAGGUGGUUUGUCGCGUCGUCUGUGAAAUUCCGGGGCUUAACUCCGGGCGUGCAGGCGAUACGGGCAUAACUUGAGUACUGUAGGGGUAAAUGGAAUUCCUGGUGUAGCGGUGAAAUGCGCAGAUAUCAGGAGGAACACCGAUGGCGAAGGCAGGUUACUGGGCAGUUACUGACGCUGAGGAGCGAAAGCAUGGGUAGCGAACAGG
Molecule: ribosomal RNA, 411 nt
Filed under: Bacillota bacterium
Lineage: Bacteria; Bacillati; Bacillota
Description: Firmicutes bacterium partial 16S ribosomal RNA
Rfam family: Bacterial small subunit ribosomal RNA
Source: RNAcentral